AAGAUUGCCAAAGAACCAGGCAACGUGAGUAUCCAGGUGCACAGAAUCGUCAGGAAUUGUGGAUUCUAUCAGGAUGCAACACUGUAUUUAGUCAUCAUGACUCCUUCAUCACCUCCUGCUUUGACACUUUCAGAAUUUCUUCAUUUUAGAUGACCUUGGCAGUUUUUAGGAGUGCUGGUCAGGUAUUUUGUAAAAUGUUUCUCAUUUGGGAUUUGUCUGAUUUUUUCUCGUGAUUAGACUGAAGUUAAGAGUAAGAAGAAGACAACAGAGAUAAGGAGAUAGGAAGAAUUGAUUUGAGAUCGACUUGGAAAUCAGCUUCAUGGAAGUGAGAGUUGAUACUGUGAGAAACGAAAGUAUAAAGAGAGAUGAGAAGUACUUGGACUAAAGUUCAAAUAAUACCGACUUCUGGCAGAGAGCAAAAAGAAUGAACCAAGCAGAAGGGAACAGAAUCCGGAAUUGGCACUAUGUCAAACUGCACUGAUCCACCUCUCCAGGACUGGGAAAACUAGAAAUGAGCCGAUGAAAAUCAGGAGACUGAAGUAAAAUUAUGUCAUUUGCUUUUCUUAAAUGUCUAGUCAAUCGUUGUCUGUUUUUCUUGACCUGAUAUUUACAGAGUUGCUCAAUAAGUUCUAGUAGUUAAUACAAAGUCUUUUUGUUUGGUUUUUUUUUUUUUUUGGUCUAUGGACAUGAAAUAUGGAUAAAUGUAAGCCAAAGACUUUACAAGGAAAGGAGUUGUUUGUUCAUCCCAACUUACAAUAAAACUAAACAAAAAGUUAUUGACUGUCUUCCAUUAAUUAAAGCAGUUUCAUCUCCUAUGAGCACCCACUAAAUACCCUGAAUUUAUUCUAAAAACUUCAAACACUCAGCUCACCAGCUUUAGCCUGAUACUGUCCACCACCUGAACACAUUGAAUUUUUACCUAUUCCUGAAGGACACGUCCAACUCCCCUGGUUUUCCUGCUUACCUUUGUUUCUUUCUCCUUUCUCUUUCCUCAUCUCUUCCUCCUUCCAAUCCCUAGUAUCUUCUCUGAUAAAAUUAAUUGCUAGUAACAUUUACUGUCACUUUCAAACUGACCCUUUGGGCACCUUUAUCUGAGUAGAACCAGUUUAGUAAGUGUAAAUACAAUCAUUCAAUGAACAUAUAUUCCGAACCUACAUGUUACAGGGCACUGUACUAAGCUACAGAAAAACAAAGUUACAAUGAAGUGUUCGGUCUACUGCAGGAUAUCCCAUUUUUCCUGAAUUCAGUUUAAAUAUUCAGAUAACUAUGGCCAUACAAAAAGUAUUUCCCCCUGGUAGAGGCUGGGAGUGUAAGAACCAGCCUAUACUCUGUAGCUAAAAUUUGAAGAUAUAACUUCAAAUUUUAAGUUCAAGUUAUAGCUCCAAAUUUUAGCUACAGAGGAGCCAUUUGGAGUCAUCUGUCACACCUUAAAAACUCUAAACUCAAUAGCUUAUAAGAUCCUCAAGCGACUGAUAAAGAAGGCUGGACAAAUCAGGACCCCACUGAAAGGACUACAGUUUGAUAUAGUUCAUGUUUAAUGCAAAAAUGCAUGGCUAAAUUUUGUUGCCUAGAAUUUUAUAGACAUGGAUAGAAACAUUUUAUUAUUAAGCCACUCAUUUCAAGCCAUAUUGCCAAUGGCUUGCAGUCUCUAAAGGAAAACUACAUAUUUCAAAUCAGUUUAAUCUAAAAUACUCUCCGGCCUUGCUAAUUGUUUUUUAGUUUCUUAUUUUCUGUUCAAAUAAAACAGGAUAAUAAAGUACUGGUAUCUUAAAUUCUUAUAAAAGUCAUAAUAGUAUAUCUUCUUUUUUUUGUCAGUGGAUCAUUUCAAUACUGGCAAGUAGGUCAUAUAAAUGUCAUAUAUCUGGCCAAUAUCUAAAGUUAUUUUUAAUAUUUCCAAUUGCUAAAGAAAAUUAUAUCUGAAGAAUUGUUAUUGAUAGAAAUUUUGCCCUCUACCAAUACUAAAUUGUGUCAUCUAUAUAAAACUACUGCUUUUCUUUAAAAUAAAAAUUUUAAUAACUUCCAGUUCUUAUUUGUUGUUCUUUUACAUAAGCUACGAGUAAUUAUUUUGCCUGAAUAUUUUAAUCUUGUUUUUACUCCUAAAAUUUACCCAGUUAAUAAUGCAUGUAUAGUGAUUUUAAUUGGUAUGGUUUGUAAUUAUGCAUAUUCAGAUUAAACAAGACAAAUGGCAGGACUCGUAAUGGCAUCAUAUUAAAAAUAUAAUACGUUUAAAAUAUAUUUAAAAGUAUAAUUAUAAAAAAGAAUGAGAGCUAUUUUAAAAUGUUUUCUAGAUAUAAAUAAUCACAUUUACUAAAGGGUAUUACAGAAAUCCCAUAAGCAAAAGAUAUUACAAAGGAUUAUUUAGAGAAACAAUUGGAACUCAGACUUCUUGAUAACUACUUGCUACUGCUGACCAAAUACAAACUGAGUGUAAUCUACCAUGAUUAAUUGCUUGUGUUUUUUUCAAAACUGUGUAAUUGAGAAACAGUGUAAUCAAUGAUAUAAAUGUAACUCCAAUGUAUCUUUUAUACACAACUUUAAUGGCUUUUAUUCUCUCUAACUUUUCCUAUACAUAAGAGCAAACUGUAUUUGCAAAAGAUCAGUUUCUUUUAUUGCCCUGAUCCCAGAUAAAUUGUAAUUUUUUAUCACAUAAAGCAUAGAAAUAUAUAUGAAGAUGGAAAAUUAAAACAUGUCUUAUUUGAUAGUCUGACUGAAUUGAGGUGGCAAAUGGGCUCUUGAAUAUAACACACUAAACAAAUAUAAGAAGUUGUUAUUAUAUCUUAAUAAAAGCCCAAAAUAAAUAAA
Long non-coding RNA from Homo sapiens (human), 2802 nucleotides. RefSeq lists it as uncharacterized. NCBI's taxonomy places the organism in Eukaryota, Metazoa, Chordata, Mammalia, Primates, Hominidae. The transcript has 3 exons. The record is from RefSeq and is a predicted model, not a curated record.